GGAAAUCCAUAUAAGGCAUUGCCAAAGGCUCCAGAAACCCAUGCAUAUUUACAGACUUGAGCUGCUUCAGCUAAAUGGUCUAAUCCUGUAUUAUCCAAAGUCCGGUGACUCAGCUUGUGAAGGGUUAAUUGCUUAUGGGGUUCCGCUCUGCUGAGGAAAGGAAGGCAAAGCAAUGAAAGCAGGAGAGGGAAGCUAAUAGCAGGCUCCCGGCGCUCCCUGCAGGUGAUCUCUCUUAUCCCAGCCAGGCAGCCCUUGCUGAGGAUCCAGCUGGGGGUCAGGAUCCUCCUGAAACUCCCCCUCGCUUAGUUAACUAAAGGUGGAGGGAUCCUCAUCCAGAGCAUUUUCCUUGGGGGAGGAGCCAGAUGUGAGCUAUACAUGGCUAGCCCAGUCCUGGGUUGGUGCUACUCAUCCGGUAUGAAACCUCUUUGGGGAUUAUUCUCCUAUCUCAGCAGAGUGGAGGGAUUAGCCUGUCACAGCUGGACAGAUCAGCCUGACAUCACACCCGGAAGCCAGGUCUUAAAGCCCAGGGCGGGUUGCAGCCUCCAGGUUGGUUUCCAAGCUAAGGAAAUCUGAACUUACCUGAUGAUGUGAAGUAAUGAAUUACUGAAACCUUCCUUCAAGCCAAUCAACCAACAAAGAAAUAUGCUAAGAUGGGUGUGAGCCAGGAAAUGCCAGUCAAACAGGUGCCUGUUGGGGAAAUAUGAUAACCAGAAACCCCGGGCAAAUGUUUCCCAGACCAAAUCUCCUUUGGACUCCACUAUGCACUUCCUGGACGGAGCAUGGGCACAAUGAGGGCGCCCUCUGCUGGCAGCACGAGUAUUUUCAGCGAUUUGCACGCCAAGUUGAAGGAGUCUACAGGAAUAGAAUUUGAAAGAAUUAGAAAAGUGCAAAGGAAGCUUAUUAGGCCCGCCUCCAUUUUUAUAAAUGGCAAUAAAGUCCGACAUAACCAUGAUGGGAAAGUAAAAUACAUAAAUAUAGGGUUCUGUUAUAUUGUAUACCUAGACAAGUUUAGAAGGGAGCAGAGUUUGCUGUUUGAGGCAGAGAGGGAAAGUUGAUGACCAGAGAGGGAGAAGAGAAAUGCUGGAGAGACAUCUUUGAGUAGAUGAGAGACUAUGGGAAUUGUCUGAUGGACAAAUAAGGGUGUGGUUCUCUGCUAGGAUCAUUGGCUGUUCAUCCUCUAACAGGAGGGAAGGCAGAGGGUAGACACAGGUAGAUGGGUAGGUGUCAUAGUGAGAGUUGGUGGAAGGUUGCUUUUGCUUUUACAGUGAAAUGGGAAGCAAAUUCAUCAGCUGAGAGUGAGUUUGCAGGAGGAGAGAGGGAAAACUGAAGCAGUCAUCCAGGAGAAUGAGAGAAUGAUUACACCAGAGAGAUGGAGUGGGAUUGCCCAGCAGCAGGAAAGAGUAUGGAGUCAUGAAUUCAAAGUGUAACCAGUGGAGAUGCCACUUCCGCUUGGGAUGAAGAAAGCUAUAAAUAUUACCCCAUCUUAACCUGCUACGCAAUCAGUUUUUCUCAAACCCAUCAGAGAGCUGAGAUCACAAGGCAGCUAACUACCAGAAUUCCAAAGAGUUAAGGCCUUGUGAGGAGAGAUGGAACUCACUCACGGUGUCACCUGGAGUAGAGCAUGGGAGAGAGGGCCAGCAGGUGCAAGUGGGGAACGAGAAAUAAGCUUAGGUUUUAACCAACUGCCGACGGCCCCGUGUGGGCUAGUGCAUCGCUCCAAAACAGUUGGGUGCUCCAGACACAGGGCAGUCUGUGCUCCCUCACUCACAAGCCUUCCCCUGGAUGCUCCUGAGGAGGAUGACAGGCAGGCAGGAGCCGGGAGAAAGGCUUCCUCCACAGUGCAGGCACACAGAAGGUAACUGAUGGCUGUGUGGGGAUGGGUCCUCAGAUCCGUCUUCUGGACAAGAGAAGAAGAGUGAGAGAACAGGGCGGAAGAAAUAUUUUAAGAGAUAGUGGUCAAGAAUCCCAUAAAAAUAACGAAAUUCAUCAAACCAUAGAUCCAAAAAACUCAGAGAACCAAGAGGGAUAAACACCAACCAAACAAAUCACAACAAAAUCCCCUGGACACAUCAUAGGCUAAUUGCAGAAAACCAGUGUUCAAGCGAGAAUCUUGAAGGCAGCCGGUGGGUUGGUGAAGAUGGGGGGUUGGGGGGGCCAUAGAAAGUCACAUUACACUCAAAGGAACAAAGGGAAGAAGUUCAGUAGAAUCUCAUCAGAAACAGCACAAGCAGAAGACAGUGAAGCAACACCUUUAAAAUACUGAAAGAAAAAGCUAUUGAUCCAGAAUUCUACCCUCAGUGAAAAUAUCUUUCAAAAAUGAGGG
This is a long non-coding RNA of Equus asinus (donkey), 2323 nucleotides long. The record is from Ensembl. Lineage: Eukaryota; Metazoa; Chordata; Mammalia; Perissodactyla; Equidae.